CAGCCGCCGCGGUAAUACGAGGGGGGCAAGCGUUGUUCGGAAUUAUUGGGCGUAAAGGGUGCGUAGGCGGUUUGGCAAGUUUGGUGUGAAAUCUUCGGGCUCAACUCGAAGUCUGCAUCGAAAACUGCCGGGCUUGAGUAUGGGAGAGGUGAGUGGAAUUUCCGGUGUAGCGGUGAAAUGCGUAGAUAUCGGAAGGAACACCUGUGGCGAAAGCGGCUCACUGGACCAUAACUGACGCUGAUGCACGAAAGCUAGGGGAGCAAACAGGAUUAGAUACCCGCGUAGUCCCUGUCUCUUAUAC
Molecule: ribosomal RNA, 301 nt
Filed under: uncultured bacterium
Lineage: Bacteria
Description: partial 16S ribosomal RNA
Rfam family: Bacterial small subunit ribosomal RNA
Source: RNAcentral